AUUGAACGCUGGCGGCAGGCCUAACACAUGCAAGUCGAGCGGAUGAAGGGAGCUUGCUCCUGGAUUCAGCGGCGGACGGGUGAGUAAUGCCUAGGAAUCUGCCUGGUAGUGGGGGAUAACGUCCGGAAACGGGCGCUAAUACCGCAAACGUCCUGAGGGAGAAAGUGGGGGAUCUUCGGACCUCACGCUAUCAGAUGAGCCUAGGUCGGAUUAGCUAGUUGGUGGGGUAAAGGCCUACCAAGGCGACGAUCCGUAACUGGUCUGAGAGGAUGAUCAGUCACACUGGAACUGAGACACGGUCCAGACUCCUACGGGAGGCAGCAGUGGGGAAUAUUGGACAAAGGGCGAAAGCCUGAUCCAGCCAUGCCGCGUGUGUGAAGAAGGUCUUCGGAUUGUAAAGCACUUUAAGUUGGGAGGAAGGGCAGUAAGUUAAUACCUUGCUGUUUUGACGUUACCAACAGAAUAAGCACCGGCUAACUUCGUG
This 484-nucleotide ribosomal RNA is filed under the name uncultured bacterium. RNAcentral's name for it is "partial 16S ribosomal RNA". It matches the Rfam family "Bacterial small subunit ribosomal RNA", at positions 30 to 507 of the family's 1533-position model. The record is from RNAcentral.